Molecule: small RNA, 522 nt
Filed under: Malus domestica (apple)
Lineage: Eukaryota; Viridiplantae; Streptophyta; Magnoliopsida; Rosales; Rosaceae
Source: RNAcentral
GGAUGCGAUCAUACCAACUCACUUCCACCGGAUCCCAUCAAAACUCUGAAGUUAAGCAUGUUUGGGAGAGAGAGUACUACUAGGAUGGGUGACCUUCUGGGAAGUCUUCAUGUUGCAUCCUCCCACCUUUUUUUUUAUUUUUCAUAAUUAUUUUUUGCGUAUAUUUAGCAGCUUAUUUGUGACGCGUGUCGUUUAUGACUGAGUCUCGUGCUUGGGAGAUAAAAGAAAAGAAUGAGAAAAGUAUUAAUUCCUAUUUUUUAAUUUCGUGUGAUUGUUUUGAUUAAUAUUUUUGAAUUUCGUGUGAUUGUUUAGGGGCAGGUGUGAUUUGCACAUGUAUAAGGUUACAUGGCCAUGGUUAAAAGAAAUGGUUAUAUACAUUUACAUUUACAAGUCGUAGACUAACAGAUGUGAUCAUACCAACUUAUAUGCAUCGGAUCCCAACAGAACUUCAAAGUUAAUUGAGUUUGGGCGAGAGUAGUACUAUGAUGGGUGACUUCCUAGGAAGUCCUUGUGUUGCAUUCC